RNAcentral lists this microRNA precursor (80 nucleotides) under Otolemur garnettii (small-eared galago). RNAcentral's name for it is "miRNA (ENSOGAG00000033232.1)". Lineage: Eukaryota; Metazoa; Chordata; Mammalia; Primates; Galagidae. The record is from RNAcentral.
UAUAUGUGUGUGUACAUGCUCAUGCACACAUGUGAGCAUACAGACACACAGAACAGACAUGUAACACAUCAAGAUGUACA